Bos taurus (domestic cattle) is the source of this 5818-nucleotide long non-coding RNA. The record is from Ensembl. Lineage: Eukaryota; Metazoa; Chordata; Mammalia; Artiodactyla; Bovidae.
GGCCAUAAAUUUGUUUCUCACAAUUCUGGAGGCUGAGAAAUUGAAGAACAAGAUGCCCACAAGGUAGGUUUCAUUCUGAGGCCCCUUCUCUUGGCUUGAAGGAGGCUGCUGUAUGGCUUUAUGGUCACAUGACCUCUUCACUGUGAUCACAGCAAGCUGUCUGGUGUCUUUCCCCCCACCUUUUAAAAAAAAAUUGUUUUUGGCCACUCCUUGUGGCUUGUAAGAUCUCAGUGCCCUGACCAAGAAUUGAACUGGGACCACGGCAGUGGAAGCCCAGAAUUCUAACCACUAUGACACCAGGGAACUCCCUGGUGUGUCUUCUUAACUGGACACUUAAAAGGAUGGAGGUCCAUAACAUUGUACAGAAGGCAGUGACCAAAAUCAUCCCUAAAAAAUAAAUGCAAGAAGUUAAAGUUGUCUGAAGAGGCUUUACAAAUAGCUGAGAAAAGAAGGGAAGCGAAAGGCAAGGGAGACAGGGAAAGAAAUACCCAAAUGAAUGCAGAGUUCCAGAGAAUAGCAAGGAGAGAUAAGAAACCUUCUUAAGUGAAUAAUAAUUCAAAAAAAUAGAGGAAAACAAUAGAAUGGUAAAGACUAAAGAUCUCUUCAGGAAAAUUGGAGAUAAUCAAGGGAACAUUUCAUGCAAGGAUGGGCACGAUAAAGGACAGAAAUGGUAUGGACCUAACAAGCAGAAGAGAAAAAGGAGAGGUGGCAAGAUAACACAGAACUAUCUGAAAAAAAUCUCAAUGAUACAGAUAACCAUGAUGGUGUGGUCACUCACCUAGAGCCAGACAUCCUGGAGUGUGAAGUCAAGUGGGCCUUAGGAAGAAUUACCACAAACAAAGCUAAUGGAGGUGAUGGAAUUCCAGCUGAGCUAUUUCAAAUCCUAAAAGAUGGUGCUGUUGAAGUACUUCACUCAAUAUGUCAGCAAAUUUGGGAAACUCAGCAGUGGCCAUAGAGCUAGAAAAGGUCAGUUUUCAUUCCAUUCCCAAAGAAGAGCAAUGCCAAAGAAUGUUCAAACUACUGCAUGACUGCGCUUAUUUCAAAUGCUCACAAGGUAAUGUUCAAAAUCCUUCAGGCUAGGUUUCAGCAGUACGUGAAUCUAGAACUUCCAGAUGUACAAACUGGGUUUGGAAAAGGUAGAGGAACCAGAGAUCAAAUUGCCAACAUUUGUUGGAUCAUUGAGAAGGUAAGACAGUUCCAGAAAAAUACCUGCUUCAUUGACUAUGCUAAAGCCUUUGACUGUGUGGAUCACAACAAACUGUGGAAAAUUCUUAAAAAGAUGGGACUAUCAGACCACUGUACCUGUAUCCUGAGAAACAUGUUUGCAGGUCAAGAAGAAACAGUAAGAGCCAGACAUGGAACAAUAGACUUUCCAAAUUAGGAAAGGAGUAUGACAAGGCUGUAUAUUGUCACUCUGCUUAUUUAACUUAUAUGCAGAGUACAUCAUGCGAAAUGCCAGGCUGGAUGAAUUACAAGCUGGAAUCAAGAUUGCUGGGACAAAUAUCAACAACUUCAGGUAUGGAGAUGAUAUUUGGAAUGACAGACUAAUUACAGCUCAAGCAGACAGAUCCUUUCUUAAACAGGCAGCAGGUAGGACACUUCUGAGACAUGGGAGCUGACUGACACUGAAGGACUGACCAUGAUCCUUUUUUGUUGUUCAGUUGCUAAGUCGCUAAGUCGGGUCUAACUCUGCGAUCCCAUGAACUGUAGCACUCCAGGCUUCCCUGUCCUUCACCAUCUCCGGGAGUUUGCUCAAACUCAUGUCCCUUGAGUCAGUGAUGUUAUCCAACCAGCUCAUCUUCUGUUGCGCCCUUCUCCUGCCCUCAAUUUUUCCCAGCAUCAAGGUCUUUUCCAGUGAGUCGGCUCUUUGCAUCAGGUGGCCAAGUAUUGGAGCUUCAGUUUCAGCCUCAGUCCUUCCAAUGAAUAUUCAGGAUUGAUUUCCUUUAGAAUUGCCUGGUUUGAUCUUGCAGUCCAAGGGAUUCUCAAGAGUCUUCUCCAGCACCAUAAUUCAAAACAUUAGUUCUUCAUAGCCCAGCCUUCUUUAUGGUCCAACAUCUGUACAUGACUACUGGGAAAACCGGGAAAACCAUAGCUUUGCCUAUAUGGACCUUUGUCAGCAAAGUGUUGUCUCUGCUUUUAAUAAGCUGUCUAGGUUUGUCAUGGGCUUCCCUGGACCUCAGUUGGUAAAGGAUUCACCUGUAAUGCGGGAGACCCCGGUUGGAUUCCUGGGUCAGGAAGAUCCCCUGGAGAAGGGGUAUACUACCCACUCCAGUAUUCUUGGGCUUCCCUGGUGGCUCAGACCAGAAAGAAUCUGCCUGCAAUGCGGGAGAUCUGGGUUCAAUCCCUGGGUUGGGAGGAUCCCCUGGAAGAAGGCAUGGCAACCCACUCCAGUGUUCUUGCCUGAAGAAUCCCCGUGGACAAAGAAGCCUGGAGGGCUACAGUCCAUGCUGUCUCAGAGUUGGACACGACUGAGUGACUGAUACUUUUACACUUUCAUUUUCAGGUUUGUCAUAGCUUUUCUUCCAAGAAGCAACUGUCAUUUAAUUUCAUGGCUGCAGUCACCAUCCACAAUGAUUUUGGGGCCCAAGAGAAAAAUUGAUUCUGUCUUUCUCCUUUUUAUAUCCCUUAUCUUCUCCUCUUGGUUCUGCCCUGUGCAAAAAUGCAAAGAGGCAUAUGCUCAAGGCCAAUCAGGGAAGGGGGCGUGUCUGGGCUCAUGCAAAAUAGAGCUUUUUACAUAUUCAUAUAGGUGGGAGUGUACUGAGCACUUACAGGCUCUAUUGCACAUGUCUUUCCCAUAGUUCAGUCUGUUAUAAUCAGAUGUAUGUAUGUGUAGAAUAUUUAUGAGCCCGUAAUGGGCUCCUAGCUGCCUAAGGUUACUUGAGGACACAGCUGUGCCUCAAGGGUGCUUUUGCCAGAGUGGGAGAAACCUCUGUGGUUAGUUUGUAUCCACUCACUGUGUGCUGAUGGCCCCUGUGCAGGAGCUGGAAAAGCCUGUGGUUAUUACUAUUUUUUUUUUCUGUUAUUUAUUUUUAUUUAUUUAAUUUUUUUGUUUAAAAUUUCUUUUUUAAAAAUUUCUUUUUUUUACUUUACAAUAUUGUAUUGGUUUUGCCAUACAUGUGGUUAUUUUUGUAACAUAUCUGUGAGAUCUCCUGGAUGUGUCUGGGAUGGGGUUUAGCGAUCAGCUUGCAUGGUUUUUGGCUAGGCCACUCCUAGUUGCUGAUGCCGAACUUCCUACAUAACAAUACAGUGAUACAGCUCUUAAUGGCACAAAGUGAAGAGGAACUUAAAAGCUUCUUGAUGAGGAUGAAAGAGGGGAAUGAAAAAGUAGGCUUGAAACUCAACAUUCAAAAAACUAAGAUCAUGGCAUCCAGUCCCAUCACUUCAUGACAAAUAGAAGGGGAAAAACUGGAAACAGUGACAGACUUUAUUUUCUUGGGCUCCAAAAUCACUGUGGAUGAAGUUAAAAAAUCCUUGCUCCUUGGGGGAAAAGCUAUGACAAAGCUAGACAGCGAGAGAUUUGGACCAUAAAGAAGGCUGAGUGCCAAAGAAUUGGUGCUUUGAAAUUCUAGGGUUGGGGAAGACUCUUGAGAGUCCCUUGGACUGCAAGGAGAUCAAACCAGCCAAUUCUCAAGGAAAUCAACCCUGAAUAUUCAUUGGAAGGACCAGUGCUGAAGCUGAAGCUCCCAUACUUUGGCCACCUGAUUGUUUAAAAAGUAAUAGAAGGGGCUUCCCUGGUGGCUCAGUGGUAAAGAAUCCGCCUGCCAAUGCAGAAGACACUGGUUUGAUCCCUGGUCCUGGAUGAUCCCACAUCCUAUGGAGCAACUUAGCCUGUGUGCCACAACUAUUGAGACUGUGCUCUGGAAUAAAAGUCACAGCACUGAAAAGCCGAGUGCCACAACGGGAGAGUAGUCCCCGCUUGCAGCAACUAGAAAAACUCCCCACACAGCAAUGAAGACUCAGUACAGCCAAAAAUAAAUAGGUAAGUUUAGCGACCCCAUGAACUGCAGCCCACCAGGCUCCUCCGUCCAUGGGAUUUUCCAGGCAAGAGUACCGGAGUGGGGUGCCAUUCCCCUCUCCGUUUUAAAAAGUAAUAGACCUCAAAUCUCAUCUUGUAGCCUACAGAACUGGUAUCAUCUUCAAGCAGUUGUCCUUUUACUCACUGACUGAGUGCCCUCUGUGUAGCAGGCCCCAGGUGAGAUGCAGCAGACAGGGCAGUGAUGUAAACAGUUUGGACCUCAUGUCUUUGUGAUUCUCUCAUGUUGAAACGUGAAAGAAGAGGAGUCAGAAAGAGAGGUAGGAGAACGUUUUGGGCAGAAGGAAAAGCAAGUGCAAAGGCUAUGAGGUGGGAACAAAUGGGUCAGCCUGUGUGGUUGGAGCUGAGUGUUGAGAUCAGAGGUCAGAAGGGACAGACUCAUCAAAGUGUGAUUGUUAUAUGCAUGGUAAAAUACAUAAAAUUGCCAUUUCCACUCUUUUUAUGUAUAUGAUUCAGUGGCAUAAAGUACAUUGAUGAUGUGCAACUAUUACAACUGUCUUGUUCCCAAAUGGAACCUGUGAAGAUGGAGAAAGAGAUCGGAGUGAUCCUGCUACAAGACUUCCCCAGGAAGUGGCUUUGGGGGUAAUACCCAAAGGUUGGAGGUUGAGUCCUGUGCAAGCAUGGAGUUUGGCAAGUGAAGAGGCAGUAAGGAUGGCUGUUUGCAGGCAGGUACACUGUCUGCAAAGCCGGAAUAUAGACAAUUUCUAGUGGUCCAGGAUUGGAAAAGGUGAGAUGCUGUAGAGGGUGGCAAAGAACACAGGGGUUAAGGGUAUAAUGUGACACCAGCUUACUGGGGAGUAAGAUCAUGCCCUGCCAUACUCUUCUGGACAGGCUGGCUCCUCAGGGAGGACUCAGAGGCAGGUUCUGGCCUGGCCUUGCCCUCCUGCAAGCCCACUUGUCUCCACCAUCACACUUCCCCCAGUUUGUGUGAGCCUGAUUUCCACUCGAACCUGCCUCCACUGAUGCUAUUCUGAAAGAAUUGCCUUGCCGGAGUCUAGUGAAGGGACAGUAACCGGGGCCACCGCAGGACCCAACCUGUCCAGCAAUUUCUAGGCACUUCCCACCUCUCUGGUCACUGCUGCCUCAGUGCCUGCCUGCCUCAGGGCCUGUGCACUUGCUUCUGCCUGAACUGUUCUGUGCUGUUGGAGGAAACUCUUGAGAGUCCCUUGGACUGCAAGGAGAUCCAACCAGUCCGUCUUAAAGGAGAUCAGUCCUGAGUGUUCAUUGGACGGACUGAUGUUGAAGCUGAGACUCCAAUACUUUGGCCACCUGAUGAGAAGAGCUGACUCAUUUGAAAAGACCCUGAUGCUGGGAAAGAUUGAAGGCAGGAGGAGAAGGGGACCACAGAGGAUGAGAUGGUUGGAUGGCAUCACCGACUCAAUGGACAUGAGUUUGGGUGAACUGCGGGAGUUGGUGAUGGACAGGGAGGCCUGACAUGCUGCGUUUCAUGGGGUCCAACGAGUCGGACACGACUGAGUGACUGAACUGUUCUUCCCCUAACUGUUAGGGCCAGCCCUGAGUCCCACACUCUUGACCAUCACCUACGUAUUUUGACUGUUGGGCCAGGAUAGGUAUGGCUCAUCCCUACCCCACGCAACCCGGUGAUUUUGGGGCCCAGCACAGAGUGCUGGACUGGGGUCAUGGAAAGUGCUCAGCAAAUAAUUACUAAAGGAUUCCGCGCCUCAGGCAGCUCACGGCCAGCCACCAACUUUCCUCCUCCCUCUUCCUAGGAGGGAAGCGGGGUCUAGGCCCAGGCCGCGGGGGAGGGCAAGGCCCGCGGCGGGG